GGCACGGUGGCGUAGUGGUUAGCGCCAGUGUCUCAAAACAAGAGGGUCGUGGGUUCGAUUCCAGCCUGGGGCC
This is a non-coding RNA of Gymnothorax javanicus (giant moray), 73 nucleotides long. NCBI's taxonomy places the organism in Eukaryota, Metazoa, Chordata, Actinopteri, Anguilliformes, Muraenidae. The record is from the annotation of a GenBank genome assembly.